RNAcentral lists this ribosomal RNA (548 nucleotides) under uncultured organism. RNAcentral's name for it is "bacterial SSU rRNA". It matches the Rfam family "Bacterial small subunit ribosomal RNA", at positions 933 to 1473 of the family's 1533-position model. The record is from RNAcentral.
UGGAGCAUGUGUUUUAAUUCGAAGCAACUCGAAGUACCUUACCAGGGUAUGACAUGUGAGCUUCGACCUUCGGUAAGAGGUUAAUCCUGUGAAAGCAGGACGAAUCACACAGGUGUUGCAUGGCUGUCGUCAGCUCGUGUCGUGAGAUGUUGGGUUAAGUCCCGCUACUGAGCUCAACCCUUGCUGUUAGUUACCAUCGGGUAAUGCCGGGGACUCUAGCAGGACUGCCGGUGAUAAACCGGAGGAAGGUGGGGAUGAUGUCAAGUCAUUAUGACCCUUUACACCCUGGGCUAACCACGUGCUACAAUGGUCGGUACAAAGGUGAGCGAUACCGCGAGGUGGAGCAAAUCUCAANAAGCCGGCCUCAGUACGGAUUGCAGUCUGCAACUCGACUGCAUGAAGCUGGAAUCGCUAGUAAUCGUGGAUCAGCAUGCCACGGUGAAUACGUUCCCGGGCCUUGUACACACCGCCCGUCAAGCCAUGGAAGUUGGUAGCACUCGAAGUCGUCGACCCAACCUAGUGAGGGAACGCCGAAAGUGAGACUGAUA